AGUGAACGCUGGCGGUAGGCCUAACACAUGCAAGUCGAACGGCAGCACAGGAGAGCUUGCUCUCUGGGUGGCGAGUGGCGGACGGGUGAGGAAUACAUAGGAAUCUACUUUUUCGUGGGGGAUAACGUAGGGAAACUUACGCUAACACCGCAUACGACCUACGGGUGAAAGCAGGGGACCUUCGGGCCUUGCGCGAUUGAAUGAGCCGAUGUCGGAUUAGCUAGUUGGCGGGGUAAAGGCCCACCAAGGCGACGAUCCGUAGCUGGUCUGAGAGGAUGAUCAGCCACACUGGAACUGAGACACGGUCCAGACUCCUACGGGAGGCAGCAGUGGGGAAUAUUGGACAAUGGGCGCAAGCCUGAUCCAGCCAUACCGCGUGGGUGAAGAAGGCCUUCGGGUUGUAAAGCCCUUUUGUUGGGAAAGAAAUCCAGCCGGCUAAUACCUGGUUGGGAUGACGGUACCCAAAGAAUAAGCACCGGCUAACUUCGUGCCAGCAGCCGCCGUAA
Molecule: ribosomal RNA, 506 nt
Filed under: uncultured bacterium
Lineage: Bacteria
Description: partial 16S ribosomal RNA
Rfam family: Bacterial small subunit ribosomal RNA
Source: RNAcentral